CGUAGGUGGCAAGCGUUGUCCGGAUUUAUUGGGUUUAAAGGGUGCGUAGGUGGUCUUGUAAGUCAGUGGUGAAAUACGGCAGCUCAACUGUCGAGGUGCCAUUGAUACUGCAAGACUUGAGUACAGACAAGGUAGGCGGAAUUGACGGUGUAGCGGUGAAAUGCUUAGAUAUCGUCAAGAACACCGAUAGCGAAGGCAGCUUACUAGACUGUAACUGACACUGAGGCACGAAAGUGUGGGGAUCAAACAGGAUUAGAUACCCUGGUAGUCCACACUGUAAACGAUGAUUACUCGAUGUUGGCGAUACACAGCCAGCGUCUUAGCGAAAGCGAUAAGUAAUCCACCUGGGGAGUACGCCCGCAAGGGUG
This 368-nucleotide ribosomal RNA is filed under the name uncultured organism. Its description in RNAcentral is "bacterial SSU rRNA". It matches the Rfam family "Bacterial small subunit ribosomal RNA", at positions 526 to 896 of the family's 1533-position model. The record is from RNAcentral.